Nothoprocta perdicaria is the source of this 833-nucleotide long non-coding RNA. RefSeq lists it as uncharacterized. The transcript has 2 exons. The record is from RefSeq and is a predicted model, not a curated record. Lineage: Eukaryota; Metazoa; Chordata; Aves; Tinamiformes; Tinamidae.
CUGGGGACUCUGGCCCUGCACCCCGAUGGGCGCCGAGUGCUGGAGGCCGCCUGGGCCGCCGCCCCUGGCCCUACCCGUGCAGACAUGGCUGCCGAGUUGGCAUCGCAGCUGCAGGAGCUGCAGCGGGACCUGAACGGCCGCCGCGUCGCCCACGCCUGGAGCCUCCAGCUCUUCCUGCGGAACCGCCACGAGUGGCUGCGGCGCUACGGCCGCCCUGGCACCACAGAGACACCAUAGAGAUGCCAAAGAUACCAUAGAGACACCAUAGAGAUGCCAGAAAUGCCAUAGAGACUCCAGGAGACACCACAGAUAUGCCAGGAGAUACCACAGAGAUGCCAAAGCAUAGAGACACUUGGCGACGCCAGAGAGACACAAUAGCGAUGCUGGAGACACCAUAGAGAUGCCUGGAGGACCUGUGGGGAGCACACAGUGCCAACUAUGCGUCUCAUCUGCACUAGGGGGGCAACCAUAGAGUCCCUGGAGGACUGAUCAUAGAGACCUUGGAGGACUCUGGCAUCUACGGAGUGACUAUAGAGCCUUUAGAGGACUGGUCUCUAAAGAGCAACCAUAGAGAUUUUGGAGGAGUGAGUGACCAUAGAUACCUUGGAGGACUAAUCAUAGAGUCCUUGUAGGACUCCAGCCUCAAUGGAGCAACCAUAGAGUCCCUGGAGGACGAGGACCGAGCGCCACAGAGGAGCCCUCCAGGCCCCUUCUGGCUGUGACAACCAUAGAGUCCUUGGGCCGAGGAGGCUCCACGGGCGACACUCUGGUCACCCUUCCCCAGCCUUGUCUGCUCCUGUGCCCUUUUUUGUAAUAAAAUGACCCCAUUUUCU